Molecule: ribosomal RNA, 493 nt
Filed under: uncultured bacterium
Lineage: Bacteria
Description: SSU rRNA
Rfam family: Bacterial small subunit ribosomal RNA
Source: RNAcentral
AGGACGAACGCUGGCGGCGUGCUUAACACAUGCAAGUGGAGCGACGAACCAGGGCUUGCCCUGGGGCAGAGCCGCGAACGGGUGAGUAACACGUGGGUUACCUACCCCGAUGACCGGGACAACCCGAGGAAACUCGGGCUAAUACCGGAUGUGGUCCUCGGACUAAAGGAAGCUUCGGCCUCCGCAUCGGGAUGGGCCCGCGGCGCAUUAGCUUGUUGGUGAGGUAACGGCUCACCAAGGCCGCGAUGGGUAGCUGGUCUGAGAGGACGAUCAGCCACACUGGGACUGAGACACGGCCCAGACUCCUACGGGAGGCAGCAGUGGGGAAUCUUGCGCAAUGCGCGAAAGCGUGACGCAGCAACGCCGCGUGGGGGAAGAAGGCCUUCGGGUCGUAAACCCCUUUCAGUUGGGACGAAGGUCGGGCCGUUAAGUAGCGGUUCCGUCUGACGGUACCUUCACAAGAAGCCCCGGCUAACUACGUGCCAGCAGCCGC